RNAcentral lists this ribosomal RNA (473 nucleotides) under uncultured bacterium. RNAcentral describes it as "bacterial SSU rRNA". It matches the Rfam family "Bacterial small subunit ribosomal RNA", at positions 355 to 825 of the family's 1533-position model. The record is from RNAcentral.
UGGGGAAUAUUGGACAAUGGGCGAAAGCCUGAUCCAGCCAUGCCGCGUGUGUGAAGAAGGCCUUUUGGUUGUAAAGCACUUUAAGCGAGGAGGAGGCUACUUAGAUUAAUACUCUAGGAUAGUGGACGUUACUCGCAGAAUAAGCACCGGCUAACUCUGUGCCAGCAGCCGCGGUAAUACAGAGGGUGCGAGCGUUAAUCGGAUUUACUGGGCGUAAAGCGUGCGUAGGCGGCUUCUUAAGUCGGAUGUGAAAUCCCUGAGCUUAACUUAGGAAUUGCAUUCGAUACUGGGAAGCUAGAGUAUGGGAGAGGAUGGUAGAAUUCCAGGUGUAGCGGUGAAAUGCGUAGAGAUCUGGAGGAAUACCGAUGGCGAAGGCAGCCAUCUGGCCUAAUACUGACGCUGAGGUACGAAAGCAUGGGGAGCAAACAGGAUUAGAUACCCCCGUAGUCCCUGAGCGGGCUGGCAAGGCGCAU